UUGAAAAAGCGAAGAAAAAUUUUGAAACAAUUUUCUAUUUCAAAUGUUUAAAUUUUUCAUGACUCAAAGUAAAUUGUGUAACUACAUAAUUACUACGUAACAUCGUUAUCUAGCAAUUAUCAGCUUUUUAAAAAUAACCUUAAUCAUUUAAUUACCCCAUGUACUCGGACAUGUUUAGUAUCGAUCUCUCCAUUUAAAAUAAAUUCUCAAGAAAAAGUAAAUCUACACUUACACCCAAGCGCUAAGUGAUUACACCACUGUUAUCUAUUCCAAUAGCUCUACAUUCAUUUGAAAACUUAUCUACCCAAGUCUCAAGUUCCAUGUUUACGCACAGGCUAAAAAACUUCCUUACAUGCAGCAAUAACAUGAUUGAGCGAUUCAAUAUUCAAAAAUUAACAAUAACGUGCAAAAAUUCCAUUGAUAAUGCAAAAGUUUCUGAGGGCAUUGGUCUAAAAACUAAAAUAAAACAAAGAUUUUUUGUUGUUGUAAUGCAGAGGUGCAGGCAUCAUCAGAACGGUCGUUGGUCGUUGGCUCGCGACCCUCCAAAUGGCAGUUAACGCCACGAGGACAGAUUUACCACGAAAUAUCCCAAGGGACUUGUCCCCGUGACUGAACGUACCCUUGGGUACGCGUACGCUCAUACAUGCGAAUCGAGAAAAUUUAAGCUACCCUUCCGAUUUAACAGCUCAGAGUACACUGUUUGGCCUCAUCGUUUAUAAACUCUCUUGUGUAGACUGCCCGCGAGUUUAAAACACGCGGUAAACGAGCGUCCAUCAUCAGCGUGUCGUCCUCGUUAUGCUUUUAAUCGUUUCAUCAACUUGUUGUUAUCACGCGCCCGGGACGCCAUUUUUACAUGACCGAAGCGGUGAUACGUUACGUAUAUAUGUUAUUAUAUAUAUGUAUAUGUAUAUGUAUAUAUAACUGAUAACGCUGCUACUGCUGUUGGGGAUUGCGAAUAAAAAUUGAACAGACAAUAGCAAAUAUUGAGGGUGGAUAUGUGCAUUGUUUGCUUCAAUCCGUUUCGAGAUUUAUGUAUUUUUAUUUUUCACGCUUUACGUAUUGUUAUUUUAUAUUUUUCAUUUUAUUCCAUUAUAUUUUUUUAUAUUAUUUUUAUAAAUUUUAUUUGUUAUCAGGAUUUUCCGAUUUCACAGCGAUACCGAUCAUCAACACGCCGUACAAUCGAAGAAUAUACAAAAGAAAAUAAAUAACAUAAAAAAAUUUUGUAUUAUUGUAUAUUUUCCAGGAAAAUAAAAUACCAACAAAAUGUUAUUUAAAUUAUAAUGAUAGAAAAAUAUAUAAUAGUGAAAUAUAAAGGAAAAAUAUAUGGUAAAAAAAAGUAAACUUUGAUUUUUAUCCGGUUAAAUUAUGUCUUUAUUAGUUGAGCCAAUGACUCUAACGGUUUUCCCCUGUGACGAUGAAAGCCGCAGGUGUCCUAACGAGUGAAAAAAAAAAAUCUGUAUGCCUGUGGGCAAGACAGAGAAAAGUCCAGAGGGAACAAAGGAAAAAAAUAAAAAGGUUGUACGAUACCAUGAAAUGUACGAGAUACUAGUCGCUCAUUAUUCACCUCAAGCUCUCACUCAGAUAUCACGAUCAGCCAGAAAGGAUCGUUUUCAUCGUUACCCUUGUUAAUUUUUGUGCUUUUCCUGGUACCGAGUACUUAAGUAGACUUGUAAAAGAUCGGGAGUGUAUUCGGAGUGAUUACUGAUUUUAUUUAAAUGCGAAUCCACUUCGAAAGUCGGAGUUUAAAAAAAAAUACUCUUUUAAAAUGAAUCAGUGAGAAGUACUCCAAUCAGUGAAGAUUCAGGGCACGAAUAGUCCCAAGUAUAUUAAUAAUUCAGUCAGUGAUGGGGAAAAAAAUUUUCGGAGUGAAC
Microplitis mediator is the source of this 1871-nucleotide long non-coding RNA. RefSeq lists it as uncharacterized. The record is from RefSeq and is a predicted model, not a curated record. The transcript is spliced from 3 exons. NCBI's taxonomy places the organism in Eukaryota, Metazoa, Arthropoda, Insecta, Hymenoptera, Braconidae.